UUUGCAGCCGAAAAUUGGUUUUCCUUCAGUUAAGUUGUACAGAUUGCGUAUAGCACAUUGACAGUUAUGUGAUACGUUAAUUUGAUUUCUUGGCUAGUUCUUUAUUUGUUAGCUUUUGAAACAUUACAAAUCAAGCAUGUCAUUGGCAGCAGAUAUAUUGCAUGAACAUUAAUGACGUACGUUGCAUGUUAUAGAUUUGAUUGUCUUAAAUUCUCACUUCUGCUCAUUUUGAAAGUGAUCAUUCUCCUAACUAUUUAUAGGGCCAAUAGGAUCUGCUAAAGUGGACCUUGCAGAGUCCCAAGACUCUUACCUGUGCCGGGUGUCUCUGCCAGGGGCAAGAAAAUAUCCAUUGUGAACUUGACACGGACAGUGAGGUCUUGAUUGAAGGAGAAGCAAGAACAGAAAACCUUCAUCAAUCAGGACACAUGACUCUCUCCUUUCACCUGCUGUUCAUCCCAACAAACCUUAACUUUGGUGCGGAUGGGAUCUUGAAGGGAGCUGUCAAGAAGCUGAUCAAUACCAGAUGACUGUCAGGCAGCUCAGACUUUAUGGAAUACGCAAGUAGAAUUCCUGUGUGCAGUUCUAAUGAAGUACUUGUUCAAAAAAGGUAAUGUUAAACAUACCUGGUAAUGGCUUUUCUCUUUACUUGGAAUUGAUAAUUCUAAAACUAUUCUUUUCAUCUCACUGUUGUAUGUUUUACCAUUUCGUGAUUUGUUAUUCAUUAAUAUCUAUUGAACUUGUC
This is a long non-coding RNA of Eucalyptus grandis, 742 nucleotides long. RefSeq lists it as uncharacterized. NCBI's taxonomy places the organism in Eukaryota, Viridiplantae, Streptophyta, Magnoliopsida, Myrtales, Myrtaceae. The record is from RefSeq and is a predicted model, not a curated record. The transcript has 2 exons.